This 578-nucleotide ribosomal RNA is filed under the name Streptomyces sp. I14A-01150. Its description in RNAcentral is "bacterial SSU rRNA". It matches the Rfam family "Bacterial small subunit ribosomal RNA", at positions 95 to 687 of the family's 1533-position model. Lineage: Bacteria; Bacillati; Actinomycetota; Actinomycetes; Kitasatosporales; Streptomycetaceae. The record is from RNAcentral.
GUGGCGAACGGGUGAGUAACACGUGGGCAAUCUGCCCUUCACUCUGGGACAAGCCCUGGAAACGGGGUCUAAUACCGGAUAACACUCUGUCCCGCAUGGGGCGGGGUUGAAAGCUCCGGCGGUGAAGGAUGAGCCCGCGGCCUAUCAGCUUGUUGGUGGGGUGAUGGCCUACCAAGGCGACGACGGGUAGCCGGCCUGAGAGGGCGACCGGCCACACUGGGACUGAGACACGGCCCAGACUCCUACGGGAGGCAGCAGUGGGGAAUAUUGCACAAUGGGCGAAAGCCUGAUGCAGCGACGCCGCGUGAGGGAUGACGGCCUUCGGGUUGUAAACCUCUUUCAGCAGGGAAGAAGCGAAAGUGACGGUACCUGCAGAAGAAGCGCCGGCUAACUACGUGCCAGCAGCCGCGGUAAUACGUAGGGCGCAAGCGUUGUCCGGAAUUAUUGGGCGUAAAGAGCUCGUAGGCGGCUUGUCACGUCGGAUGUGAAAGCCCGGGGCUUAACCCCGGGUCUGCAUUCGAUACGGGCUAGCUAGAGUGUGGUAGGGGAGAUCGGAAUUCCUGGUGUAGCGGUGAAAU